AAAAUCUGGACAAUAACGCGGCUACCCCCACCACUCAAAUUUCAAUUCGUUGCAAGACCUGUAUGUAAGACCGUGAGAUAUACUUACUUACACGACUUGAGCCGAAUCUCUCCGAAUAACAUUAUUUUACUAGUUCAACCGUACAUUUUAUCAUCUCUUUCCCCCUUUCAUACGUUGGGGGUAUAAACAUACGAUCCCAAGCUAAGGUUCGUGAGCGGGUGAGCGCGCCAAGAUUACACAGAGGCUUUACAUGAUACGUGGCGUCGUUUUAAUAAAUUUCGUUGAUACUGAUUGAGAGUAGUUUAUUAUAAUGUUUUUGAUGGAAUGCAAAGCAGACAACUCUUUAACAAUUGUUGAGAAUGAAAACGUCAUUUAUGAGAAGAAUACUGAAGUGGAAGAGGAUGAAUUGCUUACAUUUUUUGUUGGUGGUAAAAGUUUUUUAGGUUACGUUAAGGCACGUGGAGAUGAUGAAGAUGCAUUGAAAGCUAAACAAAAACAGUGGUUAAAAGACCACAAAAAGAAGCCGGGUAAAUCUAAUAAGACGUCAGAAAAAGUGAUUGUAUCUCCGAUCAAGGCUAGACGAAUCUUGAAGAAAGAAUCCCCUCUGAAAGUGAAUUCAAAAAAAGAAGAGGCUAAGAAAAGUAAAAAAAAAAAACGAGGAGAAGGAGUCUUUAAUAAAACGUCAUGUCGACACCCAGAAAGAAGUUGCUCAGAUUAUUAAUCAAAGUAAAAGUCAAGUCUUGUCUAGUUCGGAGUCGUCUGAUGCUGAAAACAGUCCAUCUAAAGAUGAACUGAAAACUGAACUGAAGAGACUUCGUGCUGCUAAUGGAAUCUCUAAUCGUUCUACUUCUACUGAUAACGCACAAUUACAUUAACACGAUGUUUAGAAAGAUGGAUCAUCAGAAAAAGAGGAAGAAAUAAAAAGAUAGGAGGGGACACCGGCUAAAAAAAAGAGAACCGUCGUAAUUGAAGAAAAGCCGGCACCAAGUCAAUUAUUCGAUAAAGAUUAUCUAAGACCAAUUUCGCCAUUCAACGAGGAUAGUCGAGGCAAUUUGAAAUUCCAACGAGGAGCUUUAUCGUUGGUCAAAUGCCUCAGCGAGUCGGUGAAAUUAAGCGUUAAAUUUCAUCAUCCAAAGCUCUACUCGCGCCACCACGCUUGUCUGAACCAUGAAUAAUUUUCAUGAUUUUUUUUUUUUUUUUUACGUGUAAACAAGUUUAUCCUUUAAUUAUUACCUUUAUUUGUACACGUUUCAAAUUUAAUAAGUUUCCGUAUCAAACCAGUAAACAAAUUUACAUCAGAUUAUUAUCAUAUAAUUAUUAUUAUUCUAAAAGAGAACUAAAAAAAUCAUUGAUGUAAACCAAAAUUUUAUCGGGUUUCUUAAUAUAAAUAAGAAAACUAAUCAUUCAAUUUCUUUAUUUAAAACUAUGUUCAGGAAAAA
RNAcentral lists this long non-coding RNA (1439 nucleotides) under Neodiprion lecontei (redheaded pine sawfly). RNAcentral's name for it is "uncharacterized LOC124295344". The record is from RNAcentral. Lineage: Eukaryota; Metazoa; Arthropoda; Insecta; Hymenoptera; Diprionidae.